Molecule: ribosomal RNA, 570 nt
Filed under: Triticum aestivum (bread wheat)
Lineage: Eukaryota; Viridiplantae; Streptophyta; Magnoliopsida; Poales; Poaceae
Description: partial small subunit ribosomal RNA
Source: RNAcentral
AUGGCCUCCCCGUGCCUGUCCUUCCCAUCAGUCACCAGUCACCACCACCACGAACAUGGAGCUCAGCCGUCCACCCUCUCUUCCUCCAUCAUUCCUGCUAUGCUGGUCUCCACCACCGCCUUCUCUAAGUUCACCUCCCCAUGUCGCGGUGUCUCUCCAUUAAGGGAGCUGCGUUGCUUCCCUCUCCAACAGGCCACCUUCCUCUCAUCUCAGAUCCCUCCGUCCGUGGUCAUGGAUGAUGUGCAGGCGGCCCGUGCUGCUCCUGGAGCUGCCCUUCUCCUCGAGCUUGGUGUUGCCGUGCUCUCCAACACCAUCUACAAGCGUCAGAUCCGGCAAGGCGGCCGAAGAACACCAGCAUCACGCCCUCCCCACCAUGGUAGGCCCAGCUCCUCCUCACGCUGGCGGUUGGCCUCCUCCAUCAAGGUCGUGGAACUCCCUCUCCUCUGCAGUGGCCUCAAGGUCGACACUACCACAGAAUUCGCCUCGCUUCAAAUUCCCCACUUCGUCCUGAUCUGGUUCAGCUAUAUACUAUGGCUGCUUCUUGGGAGGUUGGGAGUGGGGUAUCUCUAA